AUAUGGGUGUGAUUCUGGCUGCAACAUCUGUCACCCCAUUGAUCAUUAGGGUUGAUUUGGAUGAUGCAGCUGGAUAGGCAGGUGUCUCCCUUCCUCCCUCCCUACUCAGAGGACAUCCCUCCCAAAGUCGCAUGCUCAUUCAAAGAGGACAAGCUUCCUUUUUUAAAAAAAAAAAAAAAUUAUUUAUUUAUAAGAGAAAGAGAGACAGCAAGAGAGCACAAGCAGGGGGAGGGGCAAAUGGAGAGGGAGAGGCAGAUUCCCUGCUGAGCAGGGAGCUCGAUGUGGG
This 286-nucleotide small RNA is filed under the name Canis lupus dingo (dingo). RNAcentral's name for it is "7SK RNA (ENSCAFG00020004854.1)". The stretch from base 3 to 198 matches the Rfam family "7SK RNA". Rfam says of the family: 7SK was discovered as an abundant small nuclear RNA in the mid-70s but a possible function has only recently been suggested. Two independent studies have found that 7SK RNA binds the CDK9/cyclin T complex (known as elongation factor P-TEFb). P-TEFb activates transcription by phosphorylating the C-terminal domain of RNA polymerase II. The record is from RNAcentral. Lineage: Eukaryota; Metazoa; Chordata; Mammalia; Carnivora; Canidae.